Molecule: ribosomal RNA, 1404 nt
Filed under: Phocaeicola vulgatus
Lineage: Bacteria; Pseudomonadati; Bacteroidota; Bacteroidia; Bacteroidales; Bacteroidaceae
Description: bacterial SSU rRNA
Rfam family: Bacterial small subunit ribosomal RNA
Source: RNAcentral
CAUGCAAGUCGAGGGGCAGCAUGGUCUUAGCUUGCUAAGGCCGAUGGCGACCGGCGCACGGGUGAGUAACACGUAUCCAACCUGCCGUCUACUCUUGGACAGCCUUCUGAAAGGAAGAUUAAUACAAGAUGGCAUCAUGAGUCCGCAUGUUCACAUGAUUAAAGGUAUUCCGGUAGACGAUGGGGAUGCGUUCCAUUAGAUAGUAGGCGGGGUAACGGCCCACCUAGUCUUCGAUGGAUAGGGGUUCUGAGAGGAAGGUCCCCCACAUUGGAACUGAGACACGGUCCAAACUCCUACGGGAGGCAGCAGUGAGGAAUAUUGGUCAAUGGGCGAGAGCCUGAACCAGCCAAGUAGCGUGAAGGAUGACUGCCCUAUGGGUUGUAAACUUCUUUUAUAAAGGAAUAAAGUCGGGUAUGGAUACCCGUUUGCAUGUACUUUAUGAAUAAGGAUCGGCUAACUCCGUGCCAGCAGCCGCGGUAAUACGGAGGAUCCGAGCGUUAUCCGGAUUUAUUGGGUUUAAAGGGAGCGUANAUGGAUGUUUAAGUCAGUUGUGAAAGUUUGCGGCUCAACCGUAAAAUUGCAGUUGAUACUGGAUAUCUUGAGUGCAGUUGAGGCAGGCGGAAUUCGUGGUGUAGCGGUGAAAUGCUUAGAUAUCACGAAGAACUCCGAUUGCGAAGGCAGCCUGCUAAGCUGCAACUGACAUUGAGGCUCGAAAGUGUGGGUAUCAAACAGGAUUAGAUACCCUGGUAGUCCACACGGUAAACGAUGAAUACUCGCUGUUUGCGAUAUACUGCAAGCGGCCAAGCGAAAGCGUUAAGUAUUCCACCUGGGGAGUACGCCGGCAACGGUGAAACUCAAAGGAAUUGACGGGGGCCCGCACAAGCGGAGGAACAUGUGGUUUAAUUCGAUGAUACGCGAGGAACCUUACCCGGGCUUAAAUUGCAGAUGAAUUACGGUGAAAGCCGUAAGCCGCAAGGCAUCUGUGAAGGUGCUGCAUGGUUGUCGUCAGCUCGUGCCGUGAGGUGUCGGCUUAAGUGCCAUAACGAGCGCAACCCUUGUUGUCAGUUACUAACAGGUUCCGCUGAGGACUCUGACAAGACUGCCAUCGUAAGAUGUGAGGAAGGUGGGGAUGACGUCAAAUCAGCACGGCCCUUACGUCCGGGGCUACACACGUGUUACAAUGGGGGGUACAGAGGGCCGCUACCACGCGAGUGGAUGCCAAUCCCCAAAACCUCUCUCAGUUCGGACUGGAGUCUGCAACCCGACUCCACGAAGCUGGAUUCGCUAGUAAUCGCGCAUCAGCCACGGCGCGGUGAAUACGUUCCCGGGCCUUGUACACACCGCCCGUCAAGCCAUGGGAGCCGGGGGUACCUGAAGUGCGUAACCGCGAGGAGCGCCCUAGGG